This is a long non-coding RNA of Topomyia yanbarensis, 1041 nucleotides long. RefSeq lists it as uncharacterized. The transcript has 3 exons. Lineage: Eukaryota; Metazoa; Arthropoda; Insecta; Diptera; Culicidae. The record is from RefSeq and is a predicted model, not a curated record.
GAUAAAUUGUUACGUUUAUUUUGUUUAGUAACGUAAUAAAAUAUAAGCCCUAAGAUACAGUACAGAAACAAAUGAAAUGAUUGUGAAAUGAGAGGCAGAUGUCGCCACGCACGUCAACAACAAAGCAACCCUGCAUCAAUCAGACAGUAGCAACUGUCACCGCAAUACACACGCAUACCACCCGUCGUCGAAGAAAAUCUUUUUUGACGUGAGGAAGUAGCAACGGUGUCAGUCAGAAAAAGCAGACCGCGGAAGAGGCACUUUUUCGGAAAGAGGUUAGUGCGGAAAGUUUAAACGGCCGGAAGACAACCCGGAGUGGUUCGCUGUCGUGUCCAGUGAAGGGGACAGAUCAGGCCAACAACGAACGAUUGCGCGCGACUCGGUAAGCGUUGGCGAAAUACUGGUGACGGGCCAUCGAAGCCAGAAAGCCGCUCGAACGGUACGACAUUGCCACGUGGGGGAGUUAACCUCAAAACGACGGUUCGCCGGCGACGCAACCGGUGGAGAUUGGCGAACAAGGACCGAUAAACUGAUAAGGACUGAGGAUUAGCGAUCAACUAUUUGCUCAAGCGGCAUAAAAACGAUUCACACAGAUCGUCGGCAACAAGUGCAAAAGGUUGCGCGAACGCACCGCACGGAAAAGGCCUUCCAAAGGAAGGCCUUUAUUUUCAGGUCUGAAUCAGAGCGUACGGACUGCAAGCGGGUUCGGUCAGCAACCUACGAGGAAAGACGGCAGUACAGAACGAAUCGAUCGGCUCUGAGUCUUCGACGACGACUAUACUUCACACCAGCACGGAGGAUAAGUUAUCCGCGGGAGCAUGACGGCACGGCCCAUUGGUGUGAACUGCAGUAUGCAUCUCCGGGAAAAAACGGCGUGGCGGACAUGGUAGGGGUGCACCCACAGCAAGCGUGAGUAAGAAGAAAAGAGAAUAGGUAGAAUAAGUAGAUAGAGGAGAAGAGAGAACAGAAGGAGUAAUGAGUAAAAUAAAAAGCAGAUAAAGCAGGGCAAUGGAAGGAGAAUAAAGUUUGUGUCGAUGAAAA